AGAGUUUGAUCAUGGCUCAGGAUGAACGCUGGCGGCGUGCCUAACACAUGCAAGUCGUACGAUCUUCCCCUGAUUGAAGCUUCGGCUGAUUUCGGGGAUCGAGAUAGUGGCGAACUGGUGAGUAACACAUGGGUAACCUGCCGUUCGGAUCGGGAUAGCAGCUGGAAACGGCUGGUAAUACCGUAUAACCUCCCCUGGUCGCAUGGCAAGGGGAUUAAAGAUGGCCUAUCCUUGGAAGCUAUCACCGGAUGAGGGGCCCGUGGCUCAUUAGCUAGUUGGUGGGGUAACGGCCUACCAAGGCUACGAUGGGUAGCUGGUUUGAGAGGACGACCAGUCACACUGGGACUGAGAUACGGCCCAGACUCCUACGGGAGGCAGCAGUGAGGAAUUUUCCGCAAUGGACGCAAGUCUGACGGAGCGACGCCGCGUGGGUGAAGAAGGUUUUCGGAUCGUAAAGCCCUGUCAGGGGGGAAGAACCCCUGCUUUGUUAAUAAUGAAGCAGACUGACGGUACCCCCAAAGGAAGCACCGGCCAACUACGUGCCAGCAGCCGCGGUAAUACGUAGGGUGCAAGCGUUAUCCGGAAUCACUGGGCGUAAAGAGCUCGUAGGCGGUUGGAUUAGUCACAUGUUAAAGACCCAGGCUCAACUUGGGGGAUGCGUGUGAUACUGUCCAGCUAGAGGACGGGAGAGGUAAGCGGAAUUCCUGGUGUAGCGGUGAAAUGCAUAGAUAUCAGGAAGAACACCAGUGGCGAAGGCGGCUUACUGGACCGUUCCUGACGCUGAGGAGCGAAAGCUAGGGGAGCGAACGGGAUUAGAUACCCCGGUAGUCCUAGCUGUAAACGAUGGGCACUAGGUGUGGGGGGUAUCGACCCCUUCCGUGCCGAAGUUAACGCAUUAAGUGCCCCGCCUGGGGAGUACGGUCGCAAGAUUAAAACUCAAAGGAAUUGACGGGGACCCGCACAAGCGGUGGAGCAUGUGGUUUAAUUCGACGCAACGCGAAGAACCUUACCUGGAUUUGACAUCUGAGGACUCCGCUGGAAACAGGGGAGUGCCCUCCGGGGAAUCUCAAGACAGGUGCUGCAUGGCUGUCGUCAGCUCGUGCCGUGAUGUGUUGGAUUAAGUUCCGCAACGAGCGCAACCCCUAUCCUUAUUUGCCAUCAUUAAGUUGGGGACUAUAAGGAAACUGCCAGUUUAUGACUGGAGGAAGGUGGGGAUGACGUCAAGUCAGCAUGGCCUUUAUAUCCAGGGCUACACACGUGCUACAAUGGCCGGUACAACGGGUUGCAACACCGCGAGGUGAAGCGAAUCUCUUAAAGCCGGUCCCAGUUCGGGUUGGAGUCUGCAAUUCGACUCCAUGAAGUUGGAAUCGCUAGUAACGGCGGAUCAGCACGCCGCCGUGAAUACGUUCUCGGGUCUUGUACACACCGCCCGUCACACCAUCCGAGUCUGGUGCACCCGAAGUCGCUGACCUAACCCCUAUGGGGAUGGAGGUGCCUAAGGUGUGCCCGGUAAGGAGGGUGAAGUCGUAACAAGGUA
RNAcentral lists this ribosomal RNA (1537 nucleotides) under metagenome. Its description in RNAcentral is "bacterial SSU rRNA". It matches the Rfam family "Bacterial small subunit ribosomal RNA". The record is from RNAcentral.